This 273-nucleotide ribosomal RNA is filed under the name uncultured bacterium. RNAcentral's name for it is "partial 16S ribosomal RNA". It matches the Rfam family "Bacterial small subunit ribosomal RNA", at positions 524 to 796 of the family's 1533-position model. The record is from RNAcentral.
UACGUAGGUGACAAGCGUUGUCCGGAUUUACUGGGCGUAAAGAGCGCGCAGGCGGUCGUUCAAGUCGAGUGUGAAAGCCCCCGGCUCAACUGGGGAGGGUCAUUCGAUACUGAUCGACUCGAAGGCAGGAGAGGGUAGUGGAAUUCCCGGUGUAGUGGUGAAAUGCGUAGAUAUCGGGAGGAACACCAGUGGCGAAGGCGACUACCUGGCCUGUUCUUGACGCUGAGGCGCGAAAGCUAGGGGAGCAAACGGGAUUAGAAACCCCCGUAGUCC